This 410-nucleotide ribosomal RNA is filed under the name Hylarana nigrovittata (black-striped frog). Its description in RNAcentral is "Sylvirana nigrovittata (black-striped frog) partial 16S ribosomal RNA". It matches the Rfam family "Bacterial large subunit ribosomal RNA", at positions 1835 to 2459 of the family's 2925-position model. Lineage: Eukaryota; Metazoa; Chordata; Amphibia; Anura; Ranidae. The record is from RNAcentral.
CUUGACUCCCAUAAGAGGUCCAGCCUGCCCAGUGACAUAAAGUUCAACGGCCGCGGUAACCUAACCGUGCAAAGGUAGCAUAAUCACUUGUUCUCUAAAUAGGGACUUGUAUCAACGGCAUCACGAGGGCUAUACUGUCUCCUUUCUCCAAUCAGUGAAACUGAUCUCCCCGUGAAGAAGCGGGGAUUUUUUUAUAAGACGAGAAGACCCCAUGGAGCUUUAAGCAACACAUUUACUUUUUAUCUUUUAUAUCAACUUAAUAAAAUACCUAAGUAUUAGCUUUAAGUUGGGGGGACUGCGGAGUAUAACCUAACCUCCACGACAAAUGGGCCACGCCCUUAUCCACGAGCCACAACUCUAAGAAUCAAUAAACUGAUGUUUAAUGAUCCGAUAAUUCGAUCAACGAACCA